UAUAUAACUUUAAAAAUAAAAAUCAGCUUAAAUUAAAAUGUGAUAUAUAUAUAUCUAUUCUAUAUAAAGUGUGCCUAUAUAACAGAAUUCUUGGUUUAUGAGAAAUUCAUGGGUCAAUUUUUUUAUUUUUUUUAAGUUUUCUAUUAAAAAUAAUAAUUUUUUCCAACAAAUUCUCUUAAUCAAUUUAUUUAGCUAUUUAAUAAUAGGAUCAUAUUUAUAAAUUUUUGGCCGAUUUUAGUGAAUGGCAUAACAAAAUUAAACACGACUUUAUCUCCAAAUUCAGAUUUCAUCCUCUCUCCAAAUUCAGAUUUGUGUUCUCCAAACGUAAAGUUAACGUGCCGCUUAUAAUCUGAAAAUAAAGUCUUGCAGCCAAUCCCACUCCCAAUCCGAUUUCAAUGAAUGACAUAACAAAAAAUACGACUUUAUCUCUAAAUUCAGAUUUAACCCUCUCUCCAAAUUCAGAUUUGUGUUCUCCAAAUUCGAGCCAUUCGCUUGCAAAAAGUUAAUAAUUCUGGCCCCGCCGCCACUAUUGACUCAACUCCCUUAAACGACGAUGUUAUUCCAAACUUCUUCUACAACCAAGCAAAAAGGGUCAUCAAUAACUCUAAUUGGCCAUCGUCCUCGGCAACAACAAUCGUUGUCGACCCCCUCAAUCGUCCAUUCUCCAACUCUGCCCCAGCUGUAUUUGCAGUAUAUAUACAUAUAUAAUUUAUUUAUUGAAUAAUUUUUAAUAUGUGGGUAGCUCCUUCAUUCACUCCCUCAUCAGUCACUCUGUAAUCUCUCUCAAUUAUUCAUAAUUUAAUCGCAGGAAAUUUUUGCUUUCC
Cannabis sativa is the source of this 824-nucleotide long non-coding RNA. RefSeq lists it as uncharacterized. The record is from RefSeq and is a predicted model, not a curated record. Lineage: Eukaryota; Viridiplantae; Streptophyta; Magnoliopsida; Rosales; Cannabaceae. The transcript is spliced from 2 exons.